AUAUGGAAUUAAAAUCAAAUUUUAAUACUUCCCAUAACAAAGUUCGCGAAGAAAAGGAAAAACAGAAAAAAGGAGAUUCAGAUGAGUGGGAUCACACAAAAGCUUUGAAUAAAUGUAUGAGCAAUCUAAGCACUUUUUUGGGACCAUCGGACUCGAAAGAAUGGGAAGAAAUAAAACCAUUAGUUGAUAAACUGGAGAACGCGUGGCAACUAGACAAGUUACCAGUCUCAAUUCAAAAAUCUGUUAUCGAAGUCUCCGAAAUGUUACGAAUAAAAGACUACAGACAAGCGGAACUUUGUUAUCUGGCCAUGAUGAUGGAGUGCGACGCCGAAUGUAAAAGCUUUUUAGCUGGAAUCAGGCGACUUAUCGAUAAACUAAAAUAGCAACCGGCAAAAAUUGUACGAGCUUCUGAAUUAUCAAUCAAUGUUGCUCAAAAAUUCACGUAUUUUCAGUUUUAUACAUAAUUAAAUCAAUACACCUAAGAAAAUUUA
This 491-nucleotide unclassified non-coding RNA is filed under the name Agrilus planipennis (emerald ash borer). RNAcentral describes it as "uncharacterized LOC108744246, transcript variant X1". Lineage: Eukaryota; Metazoa; Arthropoda; Insecta; Coleoptera; Buprestidae. The record is from RNAcentral.